This 213-nucleotide ribosomal RNA is filed under the name Clostridioides difficile. RNAcentral's name for it is "partial 16S ribosomal RNA". It matches the Rfam family "Bacterial small subunit ribosomal RNA", at positions 262 to 492 of the family's 1533-position model. Lineage: Bacteria; Bacillati; Bacillota; Clostridia; Peptostreptococcales; Peptostreptococcaceae. The record is from RNAcentral.
GGCUUACCAAGGCGACGAUCAGUAGCCGACCUGAGAGGGUGAUCGGCCACAUUGGAACUGAGACACGGUCCAAACUCCUACGGGAGGCAGCAGUGGGGAAUAUUGCACAAUGGGCGAAAGCCUGCUGCAGCAACGCCGCGCGAGUGAUGAAGGCCGUCGGGUCGUCAGACUCUGUCAUCAAGGGAGAUAAUGAAGGGACUUGAGGUGGAAGCC